GCCGUCGUAGGCCAAGGCGGCCACCCUCAUCGCUUUAUCGAUAGGGACAUGGAAAUUCAGAGGGAAGCGGGGGUUCGAAUCCUCCCGACGGCG
This is a non-coding RNA of Mycena galericulata, 93 nucleotides long. The record is from the annotation of a GenBank genome assembly. NCBI's taxonomy places the organism in Eukaryota, Fungi, Basidiomycota, Agaricomycetes, Agaricales, Mycenaceae.